GUUGUCUUGUUACCCAAUGGACAGUGAGCAGAACUUUUAUUCUGAAUCCCAAUUUAACUGGCCAUAGUGGCACUGAUGAGAAUGAGACAGACACAUAGAGUAGGCCACCACAAGUUAUUGGCCAAGCAACAACGCCCAAACAGGCACAAAGCCUACUUUCACCUCCGUCCCGCUUAUCUGCACAGGCAUUGCGAGAAACCAUCAGUGAUGUGCAAAGUGCUUCUCCAAUACAAGGUGCUUCUGAUACGCCCUCCUGGGGGCAGAUUAUUAUAAACUUCAGAGCUGUAAAUAUAUUCAUUACAGUACAUACUUAUUAAAUGUUCUAUCGUCAAAACAAGCCAAUAAAUGUUAUAACAAGCUGGAUUGAGUGACACAGCCAAAAAUGGAAAGUUUCACCUUGUGACUC
Molecule: long non-coding RNA, 406 nt
Organism: Ruditapes philippinarum (Manila clam)
Lineage: Eukaryota; Metazoa; Mollusca; Bivalvia; Venerida; Veneridae
Exons: 2
Source: RefSeq, a predicted model, not a curated record